CAUUUUAAAAGCAUGUUAGAUUUUAAAGUCUACCAAAUUCACUAAACCGGAAUUUUUAAUAUUUAGUUAAUAUCACAGAGAAUUGUAUCACAUCACGUGAAUAAAAGUAUGUGUUAUAGAGUUAUUAUCUCUCCAGGGAAGAGCAGGCGUGAAUUCUAAAGCUUAUUAGUAUUCCACGAGCUAUUUUAUCCGGUUAUCAGUACGACGUUACGUAUACUCAAGAAGCCACGUAGGCAAAAUCGGUGGAAUAAAAGCAACCACUGUAAUACUGCUGUGUAUUGCCUUAGGGUCAAUAACUAUAUGCAAAUUUUAUCAUUGCACAUAGUACUUUAUUCCUUAGGGACUUGCAGGGCAAGAUUGUGUAAUGCGUUUUCUUUAGACUUCAACUCCAGGAUUCAUAUGAGAUAAGAGAGCUUUUACUACCGUGAGAGUACUUUUAAAUGAUGUCACCAAACAAAUGUGAAAUUGUUCGAGGAAUGGUUAUAAUCAAGCGUUGAAAAAGGAAUAUUAAAAAAAAGAAUGUAAAAAUUAUGAAGCUGUUUAUGAUAUGGCGUGAAUAUUACCAUCUAUCAAACAAUUAACCGACCAUGGUCACACUUAUCAUUAAUAAAUUUAACAGAUAUUUUUAUUGUACUAUAAACAUUGUAAUUAUUUGACUGAUUACACCCCACUAAUACUACCACGAUGUCAAAUUUUUAUGUUCAUGAGUUGUAUUUAGUUAUAAGUAUAAUAAACAUUUUAUACAAGUCAUAAAAAAUAAUUUUAUCAGUUUUAAGUAUCAUUAGUUUUUUAAUUCACAAUCUAAUGACUCCACAUUAUCAGUAUGGUAAAAUUGAAGUUAUUUGUUGACAUUGUAUUAAAUAUAAACACCAUAAAGGAAAACAUUCUUGGUCUAUACAAGACUCAUUAAAAAAAUUAAAUAGUCUAAUUAAGAAUGAUUAUAAGUGUACAUUAUUACAGUUAUUAACUCUUAUUACUUUUAAGAUUUUUCUGUUAUUUUAAUACAUUUUUUACUACACACACAAAAUUUAUAACUAUAUCAAUAGGGUUUAAUAUUUGUUUUUUAUUGUAUUUUAAACGGACGUCCGUUAUAAGUUUAUCGGCAUUUUACUUGUUUUUUUUUUAACUUUUACGACAAAACUCCCACAAAAAUGUACUUAUUCAUAAUGUCAAAACAAACACUUGUGUAUCUGAUUGUUUUUAUUGUUGAGGUGAUGUGCUAUUAAAAAUUUUACGACUUCUGUAAUUUUCAAAAUAAAAAGGACGACAUAAACAAAGAAUACUGUAUGUUACAUACUGCGGUCAAAUAAUUUUUAUUUUGUAUCAAUAAUAAUGCUAAACACAUUCAUAAACAUUUUUAAUUUUGGCUACCAAUAAAUACAAUUUAUAUUGUUUUGUAUUUUUUUCUUUCAUCAAUAAACAUGUUCAAGAAUCCUAA
Daktulosphaira vitifoliae (grape phylloxera) is the source of this 1438-nucleotide long non-coding RNA. RefSeq lists it as uncharacterized. The record is from RefSeq and is a predicted model, not a curated record. The transcript is spliced from 4 exons. Lineage: Eukaryota; Metazoa; Arthropoda; Insecta; Hemiptera; Phylloxeridae.